This 343-nucleotide small RNA is filed under the name Pan troglodytes (chimpanzee). Its description in RNAcentral is "processed transcript". The record is from RNAcentral. Lineage: Eukaryota; Metazoa; Chordata; Mammalia; Primates; Hominidae.
AGGAUAUUAGAAAUGGCUACUCCCCAGUCAAUUUUCAUCUUCGCAAUCUGCAUUUUAAUGAUAACAGAAUUAAUUCUGGCCUCAAAAAGCUACUAUGAUAUCUUAGGUGUGCCAAAAUCGGCAUCAGAGCGCCAAAUCAAGAAGGCCUUUCACAAGUUGGCCAUGAAGUACCACCCUGACAAAAAUAAGAGCCCGGAUGCUGAAGCAAAAUUCAGAGAGAUUGCAGAAGGAGCAAGUGUUCCUGCUGCCAGUUCUUUCCUCUUUAGGCGUGAUUGAGAAAAAGCAGAAACUUUACAUAAAGCUGUAUUUCUUAAUCAUCUUUAAUUUGAAACUUAAGAAAAUG